AUUGCAAACAGCUGUCUUGAGGUAAUUGCAUUGGUGGCUAAGGAACGAGGAAUGGAUGUGUGGACAGCUAAUGCAUAUGUUGUGGUGACCUGGUUGCCUCCACAUAAUCUGGACCCAUCCUUGUCAUUUCCAGAUUUCAUUGCGCUGAAAGAUUGCAUUGUCUUCCCUGCUUGGAAGCCAGGACACUGGAUGUUGUGUGUACGUCAUUUGUAAUCUGGCUAUUUAACUUCGCAGUGCUGUCUGGAAAUUGUCUGCAUUUGUCUUAUCACAAUUAAGAGAUACCAUUUCAUGAUAAAGAACUACUAACUAUAUU
Long non-coding RNA from Sinocyclocheilus anshuiensis, 313 nucleotides. RefSeq lists it as uncharacterized. The transcript is spliced from 3 exons. The record is from RefSeq and is a predicted model, not a curated record. NCBI's taxonomy places the organism in Eukaryota, Metazoa, Chordata, Actinopteri, Cypriniformes, Cyprinidae.